UGUCUCCGUGGGCCGAAGAUAAAAGCGGCGGCGGCUGCCGUGGGAACCGUGCUGUCUGGGCUCAGCUACCCCUCGCUGGUGGCGGGGGGCGCCGUGCGGAGCAGCUCCGCGGGCAGCUCCGGGUCGCUUAAGCGGCCGGGGACGUGCCCGUCCUCUUCCCUCGCAGGGCCGCGGAGACCGGAAGGCGGCAUCCGCAGCUGGCAAGGCCCGAGGGUCCGCAGCCCACCGAGCCGAGCACAGGCCAUCAAAGCCGAAUCCGAACUUGAAUUCUGUGCGGCUGAUUGCAGAGCUGGUCUCGGAUCGGCGACCCCCCCCCCACCCGCCCCGGUGGACAGAGAUCGGCUGUUAGCCUGGAGACGAGCUUUCUCGCGGAGGCCACCGGUUGCAGAAGCUGGAAGUGAAAUAAAGGCGCGCGCGCGCCCGUUCCUGCGCUCCUCCCCUACUGAGAUAGGAGAGUCCCCCAGCACGCCUGCACAUUAGGCUAACCCACAAAGCCUGAGCGUCUUGUUCCAUUCGGA
This 518-nucleotide long non-coding RNA is filed under the name Lynx canadensis (Canada lynx). Its description in RNAcentral is "lncRNA (ENSLCNG00005020325.1)". Lineage: Eukaryota; Metazoa; Chordata; Mammalia; Carnivora; Felidae. The record is from RNAcentral.